CAGGCCCUGUCUGUAGGGAUCUUUCCCUACGUGUUAAAGCUGCUUCAGAGCUCAGCCAGAGAGUUGCGGCCACUGCUGGUUUCAUCUGGGCUAAAAUCCUGGCUGUGGACAGUUCAUGUCAAGCAGACCUGGUAAAAGACAACGGACACAAGUACUUCCUGUCUGUUUUGGCCGACAGUUACAUGCCAGCUGAGCAUCGAACAAUGGCUGUCUUCAUACUGGCUGUUAUCGUCAACAGCUACAACACAGGACAGGUACGAGUCUGUGUGUGUGAGUUGUUGUCUGCUGUCUGUCUGCUUGCUAAAAGCCCAAAGGGAGAACGUAUCAAAUUAUUCAUUUACUUCCCCCACCAGAAUUGUGGCGGGUUCUUUCGGGGGCCAGACGUCACUUUGAGAGAUGACUCUAUCGCCAAUUGUGUAUUUCCGGGAGAUAUUGGUUAUGUGACAUUUUUGUCACCGACAGUUCCCUCUCUAAUCUCCGUCUCCAUCCUAGCCACCCUCAUGGUGACGCUUUAUCACCACAAGUGUCACUUCAGUCUGCUCCUGGCCUCCGGUGUUCAAUCCCAGAAGCCUUUUGUUUCUGACACUGAUCAAACGUUCAAGGGUUUGAUGUUGGGGUGAUGUAGCCCGUCAUUUCAUGGCGUAUACAAACACAAACACAUAAAACUCACAUACAUAGUAUUCUUGACACGCUAUUUCACAAAGAAAUAUUCCACCAUCACUCCUUUUCACUUCCAGUCUCUUCCUCUCUGCAGUUAUUUUUCCAUCUAGUUGUGAGGGUUAUUUAACUCAUUCAUUUCUGUCUUAACUACUUUACAGUUCUUCUCUCGCUUGACAUUAUAUUAUUUUAACAAAUCAGAAAAGCUAUAUGUGCUCUCGAGCUCAGACACAGCCAUUCUUCUUCCAUACCACUGUGUACUUAAUGCUUCUACCUCUCUCACAGGCCUGUAAAUAAUAGAUGAUACCGAACAAUACAGAAAGAGACUCUGCUGGUUCCACAUCUCCAUUAUUUAUCCCUCUGACUUUCAACAACAGUGCUCAUUACUGCGGUAUCGUUUUUGCAAACAUGUCACAGAGCACUGGCAUCUUAAUAUGCCAGCUCUCCGGGUUCAGCAGGGAGCUGGGAUCAGAAAAACCUGGGAACGACGUCUGUGAGAUCUGAGGCACAUGAAGAAAAUAGAAAGGGGGGGAAGAGAUGCGAGGGGAGUGUGUCACUGCUGUUAAAAGAUUUGUUGUCGGGACGCCUCAAUCUGCAGGAGACAAAAGAGGAUUCUCAGCACAAUAACUGUGUUCAUCCGCUUAC
Long non-coding RNA from Hippoglossus stenolepis (Pacific halibut), 1302 nucleotides. RefSeq lists it as uncharacterized. The transcript has 3 exons. The record is from RefSeq and is a predicted model, not a curated record. Lineage: Eukaryota; Metazoa; Chordata; Actinopteri; Pleuronectiformes; Pleuronectidae.